Molecule: small RNA, 117 nt
Filed under: Macaca fascicularis (crab-eating macaque)
Lineage: Eukaryota; Metazoa; Chordata; Mammalia; Primates; Cercopithecidae
Description: Metazoan signal recognition particle RNA (ENSMFAG00000053601.1)
Source: Rfam by way of RNAcentral
GCUGGGCGUGUUGGCUCAUGCCUGUAAUCCCAACACCUUGGGAGGCUGAGGUAGGUGGAUCACCUGAGGUUAGGAGUUCAAGACCAGCCUGACCAACAUGGUGAAACCCUGUCUCUA